RNAcentral lists this ribosomal RNA (468 nucleotides) under uncultured bacterium. RNAcentral describes it as "partial 16S ribosomal RNA". It matches the Rfam family "Bacterial small subunit ribosomal RNA", at positions 28 to 507 of the family's 1533-position model. The record is from RNAcentral.
GACGAACGCUGGCGGCGUGCUUAACACAUGCAAGUCGAACGGAAAGGCCCUGCUUUUGUGGGGUGCUCGAGUGGCGAACGGGUGAGUAACACGUGAGUAACCUGCCCUUGACUUUGGGAUAACUUCAGGAAACUGGGGCUAAUACCGGAUAGGAGCUCCUGCUGCAUGGUGGGGGUUGGAAAGGUUCGGCGGUUGGGGAUGGACUCGCGGCUUAUCAGCUUGUUGGUGGGGUAGUGGCUUACCAAGGCUUUGACGGGUAGCCGGCCUGAGAGGGUGACCGGCCACAUUGGGACUGAGAUACGGCCCAGACUCCUACGGGAGGAAGAAGUGGGGAAUAUUGCACAAUGGGCGGAAGCCUGAUGCAGCAACGCCGCGUGCGGGAUGACGGCCUUCGGGUUGUAAACCGCUUUCGCCUGUGACGAAGCGUGAGUGACGGUAAUGGGUAAAGAAGCACCGGCUAACUACGUG